This 94-nucleotide transfer RNA is filed under the name Desulfobacterales bacterium. RNAcentral describes it as "tRNA-Ser". It matches the Rfam family "tRNA". From Rfam's summary of the family: Transfer RNA (tRNA) molecules are approximately 80 nucleotides in length. Their secondary structure includes four short double-helical elements and three loops (D, anti-codon, and T loops). The record is from RNAcentral. RNAcentral also lists the same sequence under 1 other name. Lineage: Bacteria; Pseudomonadati; Thermodesulfobacteriota; Desulfobacteria; Desulfobacterales.
GGAGAGAUGUCCGAGCUGGCCGAAGGAGCACGACUGGAAAUCGUGUGUGCCGUCAAAAGCGGCACCGUGGGUUCGAAUCCCACUCUCUCCGCCA